RNAcentral lists this ribosomal RNA (612 nucleotides) under uncultured bacterium. RNAcentral describes it as "bacterial SSU rRNA". It matches the Rfam family "Bacterial small subunit ribosomal RNA", at positions 338 to 943 of the family's 1533-position model. The record is from RNAcentral.
CCUACGGGAGGCAGCAGUGGGGAAUAUUGGACAAUGGGCGAAAGCCUGAUCCAGCAAUUCCGCGUGUGUGAAGAAGGCCUUCGGGUUGUAAAGCACUUUAGGUUGGGAAGAAAAAGCUUCGGUGAAUAUCCGGAGUGUUGACGGUACCAACAGAAUAAGCACCGGCUAACUCUGUGCCAGUAGCCGCGGUAAUACAGAGGGUGCAAGCGUUAAUCGGAUUUACUGGGCGUAAAGCGUGCGCAGGUGGUUUCGUAAGUCGGAUGUGAAAGCCCCGGGCUCAACCUGGGAACUGCGUUCGAUACUGCGAGACUAGAGUUUGGUAGAGGGUGGCGGAAUUCCCGGUGUAGCGGUGAAAUGCGUAGAUAUCGGGAGGAACAUCAAUGGCGAAGGCAGCCACCUGGGCCUGAACUGACACUGAGGCACGAAAGCGUGGGUAGCAAACAGGAUUAGAUACCCUGGUAGUCCACGCCGUAAACGAUGAGAACUUGACGUUGGUUCGUUUUACGAAUCGGUGUCGUAGCUAACGCGAUAAGUUCUCCGCCUGGGGAUACGGCCGCAAGGUUGAAACUCAAAUGAAUUGACGGCUGAGACGNGCGAGCGACACGAGGAGAG